Molecule: ribosomal RNA, 425 nt
Filed under: uncultured bacterium
Lineage: Bacteria
Description: partial 16S ribosomal RNA
Rfam family: Bacterial small subunit ribosomal RNA
Source: RNAcentral
GUGGGGAAUAUUGGGCAAUGGGCGAAAGCCUGACCCAGCAACGCCGCGUGAAGGAAGAAGGUUUUCGGAUCGUAAACUUCUAUCCUAGGUGAAGAUAAUGACGGUAGCCUAGAAGGAAGCCCCGGCUAACUACGUGCCAGCAGCCGCGGUAAUACGUAGGGGGCAAGCGUUGUCCGGAAUGAUUGGGCGUAAAGGGCGCGUAGGCGGCCUUCUAAGUCCGAUGUGAAAGUCCUGCUUUUAAGGUGGGAAUUGCAUUGGAAACUGGAGGGCUUGAGUGCAGGAGAGGUAAGUGGAAUUCCCGGUGUAGCGGUGAAAUGCGUAGAGAUCGGGAGGAACACCAGUGGCGAAGGCGACUUACUGGACUGUAACUGACGCUGAGGCGCGAAAGUGUGGGGAGCAAACAGGAUUAGAAACCCGGGUAGUAC